Molecule: long non-coding RNA, 362 nt
Filed under: Cavia porcellus (domestic guinea pig)
Lineage: Eukaryota; Metazoa; Chordata; Mammalia; Rodentia; Caviidae
Description: lncRNA (ENSCPOG00000031752.1)
Source: RNAcentral
AUCAGGUAUUGUUGGGUUUAAUGUGCUUUUAAGCCUAUUUUAACACGUCAUUUUUAACCCCAUCCAGCAACUGCUCCGAGAAAGACAGCAGAUGGCCAGCCGACCCUUUGCUUCUGUUGAUGUAGCCCUGGAAGUGGGAGCUGAACAAGCGGACUUUCUGAGAGGGCCAUUAGAGGGGGCUCCCAAGCCCAUCGCCAUCGAGCCGUGUGCUGGGAACAGAGCUGCUGUUCUGACUGUGUUUCUUUGUCUACCGAGAGGAUCCUCAGGUGCCCCACCCCCCGGGCAGUCAGGUAGGAUAAGCCAGGAGCCAACAGCAGUUUAGCAAAACUUGUAAACUGAAAAGAAGAAAUAAUGAUAUCAUC